This 485-nucleotide ribosomal RNA is filed under the name uncultured bacterium. RNAcentral's name for it is "partial 16S ribosomal RNA". The record is from RNAcentral.
GUAGUUAGCCGGGGCUUCCUCCUUGAGUACCGUCACUUCCUUCUUCCUCAAGGACAGAGGUUUACAAUCCGAGAACCUUCUUCCCUCACGCGGCGUUGCUGGGUCAGGCUUUCGCCCAUUGCCCAAUAUUCCCCACUGCUGCCUCCCGUAGGAGUCUGGGCCGUGUCUCAGUCCCAGUGUGGCCGAUCACCCUCUCAGGUCGGCUACCCAUCGUUGACUUGGUGGGCCGUUACCUCACCAACUAUCUAAUGGGACGCGAGCUCACCCCUCACCGGAUUGCUCCUUUGACCUCUUCGUCAUGUGACAUUGUGGUCUUAUGCGGUAUUAGCACCUGUUUCCAAGUGUUAUCCCCCUGUGAAGGACAGAUUGCUCACGCGUUACUCACCCGUCCGCCGCUAAAACAGAAACCGAAGUCCCUGUCUCCGCUCGACUUGCAUGUGUUAGGCACGCCGCCAGCGUUCGUCCUGAGCAUAUACAACUACUGA